UUUGUUUAUAUAUUGAUAAUGACAGUAUAUAUAUCGUGUCUUGACUAAUUGCGUGCCAGCAGUCGCGGUAAUACGUAAGAGACUAGUGUUAUUCAUCUUAAUUAGGUUUAAAGGGUACCCAGACGGUCAAUAUAGCUUAUAAAAUGUUAGUACUUGACUAGAGUUUUAUGUAAGAGGGCAGUACUUGAGGAGGAGAGAUGAAAUUUCGUGAUACCAAAGGGACUCUGUAAAGGCGAAGGCAGCCCUCUAUGUAAAAACUGACGUUGAAGGACGAAGGCACAGAGAACAAACAGGAUUAGAUACCCAAGUAGUCUUUGCAGUAAAUGAUGAAUGCCAUAGGUUAGAUUGGUCAAUUAUAGUCUAGGGUUAGUCUAGCAAACUAAUACCUAUACUAUUAUACCUAAUAUCUGGUCUAUAAAUGAAAGUGUAAGCAUUUCACCUCAAGAGUAAUGUGGCAACGCAGGAACUGAAAUCACUAGACCGUUUCUGACACCAG
This 496-nucleotide ribosomal RNA is filed under the name Fusarium oxysporum. RNAcentral's name for it is "SSU rRNA". It matches the Rfam family "Bacterial small subunit ribosomal RNA", at positions 450 to 929 of the family's 1533-position model. Lineage: Eukaryota; Fungi; Ascomycota; Sordariomycetes; Hypocreales; Nectriaceae. The record is from RNAcentral.